UCCGUAGGUGAACCUGCGGAAGGAUCAUUAUUGAAUUUGAUCUUCGGAUCUCAUACAUAAUAACACACUGUGAACCGUGGCUUCGGCCCAAACUUGAAGUCUAGAAUGUAAUAUAUCAUAACAAAAUACAACUUUUAACAACGGAUCUCUUGGCUCUCGCAUCGAUGAAGAACGCAGCGAAAUGCGAUAAGUAAUGUGAAUUGCAGAAUUCAGUGAAUCAUCGAAUCUUUGAACGCACCUUGCGCCCUCUGGUAUUCCGGAGGGCAUGCCUGUUUGAGUGUCAUGAACACCUCACCCCCUCGGGUUUCCGAUCGGGUGGAUUUGGGUGCUGCCAGUUACAUGGCUCGCCUUAAAAGCAUUAGCGGUUGUAGACUUAAUAAGUUUCGUCUUGUCGACCGCUUCUAAUCUCCUUCGGGAUGUCUUCGGACACUUCAUGAUCUGACCUCAAAUCAGGUAGGACUACCCGCUGAACUUAAGCAUAUCAAUAAGCGGAGGAAAAGAAACUAACAAGGAUUCCCUUAGUAACGGCGAGUGAACCGGGAAGAGCUCAAAUUUGUAAUCUGGCGUCCUUCGGGCGUCCGAGUUGUAAUCUAAAGAGGUGUUUUCCGCGCCGGACCAUGUUUAAGUCUCCUGGAACGGAGUAUCAAAGAGGGUGACAAUCCCGUGCUUGACAUGACGACCGGUGCUAUGUGAUACAUCCUCAACGAGUCGAGUUGUUUGGGAAUGCAGCUCUAAACGGGUGGUAAAUUCCAUCUAAGGCUAAAUAUUGGCGAGAGACCGAUAGCGAACAAGUACCGUGAGGGAAAGAUGAAAAGCACUUUGGAAAGAGAGUUAAACAGCACGUGAAAUUGUUAAAAGGGAAACGAUUGAAGUCAGUCGUGCACUUGGUAUUCAGCUGUCUCUGGCAGUGUAUUUGCCUUGUGCGGGUCAACAUCAGUUCUGAUCGACGGAAAAGGGCUGGAAGAAGGUGGCACCCUCGGGUGUGUUAUAGCUUCCUGUCGUAUACGUCGGUUGGGACUGAGGAAUGCAGCUUGCCGCAAGGCCGGGGUUCGCCCACGUUCAAGCUUAGGAUGUUGAC
Molecule: small RNA, 1078 nt
Filed under: Vishniacozyma globispora
Lineage: Eukaryota; Fungi; Basidiomycota; Tremellomycetes; Tremellales; Bulleribasidiaceae
Description: eukaryotic LSU rRNA
Rfam family: Eukaryotic large subunit ribosomal RNA (bases 440-1078)
Source: RNAcentral